Cavia porcellus (domestic guinea pig) is the source of this 2325-nucleotide long non-coding RNA. RefSeq lists it as uncharacterized. Lineage: Eukaryota; Metazoa; Chordata; Mammalia; Rodentia; Caviidae. The record is from RefSeq and is a predicted model, not a curated record. The transcript has 3 exons.
UAGCUCAGCAGCAUAAGCGCCUGCCUUGCAAGCAGGCAGUCGUGAGUUCGAUCCCUGGUACUGAUAAAAAGGAAAAAGACAAAAAAAAAAAAAAAAAAAAAAAAAACAGCAAGAGAACAACUUUGCCCAGAAAAUAUUCCUGUGCUGACUAAACUCCACAAACACAUUUCCACUGUCCCCGUUCCCCACCUCAUCUCGUAUUGACGGGAUGAGUGGAUUUAGGAAAUAAACUCCUCUGGGGGCCUCAUUUUCACGGAGACUUGCGGUUAUCAACAGCGCAUCCACCAUCCUCAGCCCGUGUCCCCAAGAGCAUGCCUUUUCAUCAAGAGCUAAGAUUUCAGUUACCACCAGAAACAAAGCCUGUAUCCCUGGGUUUUGCAGCCACCUACGAUGUAGUUCUGGAAAAGAACGAACAGCGCAGCUUUUACAAGAUGAUCAUCAACAGCGCUUUUCAAAAGUCUUCCUAGAGCUGCUAGAGAAGCAAAAACCCCGAAGAAGGAAGAACCGGGACGUCAAGGCAGCCAGGCAGCCAGAAUAGCAAAGCAAAAGACCCUCAUGAAAGACGACUCCACAGCUGCUGCAGGAAGUGGCAAAGAUAAUUCAAUAAGUACCUUCAAAGCACAAGGAAGCAUUUUCAUGGAGAUUAAUUAUAAUGUACCUUUUAUUACCUGAAAAAUAUACGCAAAAUGAAGACAACGGUUUCACACUGGUUAACUACCAUGAGCCAACAAGCGCAGCAGCAGCCAGGGGUGAUGGUGCAGGCCCACGAUCCCAGCCCUCUGGGAGGCUGAGGCUGAAAGAGUGUAAGUUUGAGCUCACCCUGGGAAACCCGGCAAGGUCUGCCUUAAAAUUACACAAAAAUAAAUAAAUAAAAGAGGCUGGGGAGCCCCAUACAAAGGCCCUGGGUUCAAUCCUCAACACCACCAAAAAGAAAAAGCAAAGACCCCAGAUUCACAAUCUUAAGGAGCACGGGACAGCACUGGGUGCUCUGGGCCAACAGCACCACUACUGUGGUUAAUGUAACCAUCAUCCUCAGCCACCCUAGCCUGACCUGCAGCCUUGGCCGACAGAGCAAAAGCUGUCCCGCUCUUUUCUGCACCUUCCUGAGCAUUUGUUUAGCUCUCUUAGUAACUAGCCAAACAGGAACGACUUCUGGAACUCAAAAGAGCCUUAUUCACUGAAAAAGUGGAGACUGCAGAGAUCUGGGGAAGUAGAAGCAUGAGGAGCUCCUCAAAAAAGCACUAUCCACCAGCCAGUGUCUGACACCACACAAAAGUAAGCGACUUAGCAGUUCAAUCAUUUGAAAAAUUAAAACCAGGUAAAGGUUCUCUCAAAGAAAGCCUUAGAGGGGCUGGGGAUUCAGCUCAGCGGCAUAAGCGCCUGCCUUGCAAGCAGGCAGUCAUGAGUUCGAUCCCCAUUACCGAUAAAAAGGAAAAAGACAAAAAAAAAAAAAGAAAGAAAGCCUUAGAGAGCAGCAGCAUUAACCAUUACCUGAUCUCCACACACUGGUCCUGAACAGCAGCCAGCAGCUUCCCGUUGCUUUCCCAGGGAAGAAGAAUGCGAAAACUCAUUAUGAAUAUCUGCACUGAAAAACCCAAGUCAACAGCUACUCAUUUGAUACCUUCAAUACAGAGCAAAUUAUUUUUCAAAGUUACAAUAACUUUUACACUUUUUAGCUCUAAUUGCCCAUCUUUUUUUUAAAGGAUUGAACAUUUCUCCACAUGUUAUUGCUUGACAUUACUAUGUUGACAUACGGCUGGUUUUAUAUUUACAUGUUUAGUUACCAACAUUUCUUACAAAGAGCAUCUCUGGAGUUUUUCUCUGAGGCAAGACAUGGCAUAUGAAACUGUUUUGUUUAUCAAUCAUAGGAUAAAACCAUGUUGCCGAAGAAAACUGUCAUCUCUCACCCUUGGCUUUCAGUGGUGAAACUGCUAUUAGGGGUCGACACAAUGGACUCUGCAGAAUGGAGUCACAUUCCUCUCUGCCUCUUCCUGGUCGGUAAUUAUCUUUAAACCUUAUAAUUAGAUGCAUAUAGACAUCUACAUUCCAAUUUAAUAAAUUGGAAUGUAGGCAUCUAGGUACGUAAAAAGCAUAAAAAUGACUCAAUAUAGCUUGACUGAACAUCUCUAGACAAUACUGAUCCUAUCAUCCUAUUAUCACUGAUCAAUACUGAUCCUCUAGCCAAUACAAGCAACAAAGAAUGUAUACAGAUAAAAGCUGAGCAGGAAAGUCUUAAGGGGCCCAAAAUGAACACCCAUAAUAAAAACUAACAGCCAAUUCAAAUAGAAGCACAUUAUGUGAAUUUCACACCACCUUACCUUGCAA